Molecule: ribosomal RNA, 402 nt
Filed under: uncultured bacterium
Lineage: Bacteria
Description: partial 16S ribosomal RNA
Rfam family: Archaeal small subunit ribosomal RNA
Source: RNAcentral
ACACCGGCAGCUCAAGUGGUAGCCGCUUUUAUUGGGCCUAAAGCGUCCGUAGCCGGUCUGAUAAGUCUCUGGUGAAAUCCCACAGCUUAACUGUGGGAAUUGCUGGAGAUACUAUCAUGACUCGAGGUCGGGAGAGGCUGGAGGUACUCCCAGGGUAGGGGUGAAAUCCUGUAAUCCUGGGAGGACCACCUGUGGCGAAGGCGUCCAGCUGGAACGAACCUGACGGUGAGGGACGAAAGCCAGGGGCGCGAACCGGAUUAGAUACCCGGGUAGUCCUGGCCGUAAACGAUGUGGACUUGGUGUUGGGAUGGCUUCGAGCUGCCCCAGUGCCGAAGGGAAGCUGUUAAGUCCACCGCCUGGGAAGUACGGCCGCAAGGCUGAAACUCAAAGGAAUUGGCGGGG